AUGGUUCACCGCAUUCGGAAUGCGGUGAACCAUUCACCGCCUUCACAACAGAAUUAUAAAGAGGGUGAACGAUUCACCGUCUUUAUGAGAAAUAUCUGACGUGGCACCCACAUGGCGAAAGGAUAAUUAGUUUUAUAAAUAAAAUUUUGGCAGGAUCAUUUUACCAAUUUCAAAUUUCUACUGGAUCAUUUUAUAAAAAAGCCCAAAUUUUACUGUUUAAAAAUAAUAAUAAUUUUUUACUGAAUUUUAUUUAAAAAAUUUGAAUUUGAAUUUAAGAUUCUCUCCCAGGUAAAUGCUGUUACUCGUUUUCACGCAAACCCAAGCCAUAUCCCGGUGCCAACGUGUGGACCCCACAAAGUGGGCCCCAUUAUCCAUAACCUUGGGAAACGUGCCCCCAAAAUCUAAUUCAAUUUAUUGCUCUCUUUCCAAUAAUUUUGGGUAAAUUGCAGCGCUAGCCCCUGAACUUCAAGUUAAUUUCAUUUCGGUACUCUUGGUUUGGGAUAAAUUACACUUUAUAAUUUUAUCGGUAAAUUUUAAUUUAUUAUAAUUUCUAGCUCAAACUUUUUAAAUUAUUAUAAUUAAGUCCUAUAAUUUAAUUUAGUUAGCUAAAUAUCAAUGCACUAUUAAUAUAGAAGUGUAGUAUAUUAAUUAUUAUCGUAUCAUUAAUCACAAUAUUUUUAUAUCACUGUUUAUAUAAAUAAUUUACCAAUAUUUAGUCAACUAAAUUGGAUCGUGGGACUUAAUUGCAGUGAUUCGAGUUUAAAAUUAUAACAAAUUAAAAUUUAAAAACCAAAAAUAUAAUUUACCAAACUUUUACUAAAAUUUUAAUUUAGUUUUAAAUAUUUAACAAUAUUUUAUUUUAAUACUUUAAAGCAAAUAUUAUU
This 884-nucleotide long non-coding RNA is filed under the name Ananas comosus (pineapple). RNAcentral describes it as "long non-coding RNA (ACOM_LNC009738)". Lineage: Eukaryota; Viridiplantae; Streptophyta; Magnoliopsida; Poales; Bromeliaceae. The record is from RNAcentral.